Molecule: non-coding RNA, 30 nt
Filed under: Mus musculus (house mouse)
Lineage: Eukaryota; Metazoa; Chordata; Mammalia; Rodentia; Muridae
Source: RNAcentral
UGGAGAAAUUUUCUCUUGAAGCCUCAAAUC